This 485-nucleotide ribosomal RNA is filed under the name uncultured bacterium. RNAcentral's name for it is "partial 16S ribosomal RNA". It matches the Rfam family "Bacterial small subunit ribosomal RNA", at positions 30 to 507 of the family's 1533-position model. The record is from RNAcentral.
UUGAACGCUGGCGGCAUGCCUUACACAUGCAAGUCGCACGGCAGCACGGGUGCUUGCACCUGGUGGCGAGUGGCGAACGGGUGAGUAAUACAUCGGAACAUGUCCUGUAGUGGGGGAUAGCCCGGCGAAAGCCGGAUUAAUACCGCAUACGAUCUACGGAUGAAAGCGGGGGACCUUCGGGCCUCGCGCUAUAGGGUUGGCCGAUGGCUGAUUAGCUAGUUGGUGGGGUAAAGGCCUACCAAGGCGACGAUCAGUAGCUGGUCUGAGAGGACGACCAGCCACACUGGGACUGAGACACGGCCCAGACUCCUACGGGAGGCAGCAGUGGGGAAUUUUGGACAAUGGGCGAAAGCCUGAUCCAGCAAUGCCGCGUGUGUUAAGAAGGCCUUCGGGUUGUAAAGCACUUUUGUCCGGAAAGAAAUCCUUGGCCCUAAUACGGUCGGGGGAUGACGGUACCGGAAGAAUAAGCACCGGCUAACUACGUG